RNAcentral lists this transfer RNA (71 nucleotides) under Stegodyphus mimosarum. It matches the Rfam family "tRNA". From Rfam's summary of the family: Transfer RNA (tRNA) molecules are approximately 80 nucleotides in length. Their secondary structure includes four short double-helical elements and three loops (D, anti-codon, and T loops). Further hydrogen bonds mediate the characteristic L-shaped molecular structure. tRNAs have two regions of fundamental functional importance: the anti-codon, which is responsible for specific mRNA codon recognition, and the 3' end, to which the tRNAs corresponding amino acid is attached (by aminoacyl-tRNA synthetases). tRNAs cope with the degeneracy of the genetic code in two manners: having more than one tRNA (with a specific anti-codon) for a particular amino acid; and 'wobble' base-pairing, i.e. permitting non-standard base-pairing at the 3rd anti-codon position. The record is from Rfam by way of RNAcentral. Lineage: Eukaryota; Metazoa; Arthropoda; Arachnida; Araneae; Eresidae.
GUCUUCAUGGUGUAACGGUAGCACACUCGGCGCAUAUUCAAUAGGCCCAGGUUCGAGUCCCGGCGAAGGCA